Molecule: unclassified non-coding RNA, 381 nt
Filed under: uncultured fungus
Lineage: Eukaryota; Fungi
Description: sequence contains ITS1
Rfam family: 5.8S ribosomal RNA (bases 1-105)
Source: RNAcentral
AAACGGCGAAACGUCAUGUGACCUGCAUGCUUUGCGAAUCAUCAAAUCUUUGAACGCAUCUUGCACCUGCGGCCCUGCGGCCCAGGUAUGCUUGUUUGAGUAUCGUGAUCAUCAUCACGCCAUGGGGACGCAGGCGUGGAGCUGAGGGUGAGUUGAUUCAGGCGCGCACCCGCACACAUAUACUGUGUGUGCGUGUGCGCGCCAGACUCUCCCUUCAAAGGCAGCACGGCGCCAAUGUGGUAACACCGUCAGAGGCAAAGUGUGAACGUGAACGUGAACGAGGUGGGCCGUGGACCGCAGUGAUGUGCGGCUCCAUGCGUGACCCAUAACACAAUCAUCAUCAAUCCAUCUCAAACAAGUAAGAGGACCCGCUGAACUUAA